AUGCCACCACAGCUCCCCCCGGAAGCGAGGGCGGGCUUAACGCCCUACUUCCGUUACCAUGCUCGGUUUUUCAGAAGGGGGUUGUGCGGGAAGGGGGACAGAUUUAGAGACAGGAAGCGGAAGGGCGGGACUCCGAGCCGUAGCCAAUCGUCACUGAAGGUUGAGUUUCUGUGGCCCGUUGAACGCGGGCGGGGGGAGGUGGCUUCUUCCGGCCGGUGGUGGGGUAGCUGCGUAGGUCGAAGGACACAGCCGGCGGAAUUGGUGUCUUUUGCAAGCAGUUUGCUUCCACUGUGCGGUGCUUAGGGAGCUGACGAGCAAGGUCUCCUUUAGCUGCGCUGCAGCCUUUGUCAAAGCGAGAGUGAGUGUGGCCCGGCCCCUGCAGUUCGCCAGGCCCGCAGUAACCGGGUUAGAUUUCAGUUUAUGUCCGAUCAGCCGGAAGGCCUUUCCUAGGAGGUAGCCAGAACAGAGAGAGCUGUAAACUCCUUGAAGUGCAAGAGGCUGCUUCUGGUCCCCGAGUGGCUCUCGACCUUGCCUCCUUUUACCUCGUGAUCUCACCAUUCCAGGUAGGUGUCCAGUCAGACAGGAAAAUUGCAGUUUCAAGAAACAGAGAAAGUAGGGAGGGCAGUUGGUCACUUCGGGCCUUUUCUGAAAUGCCCAUUUUCACAGGUGAAAAAAGACGUGGAAGGCCUAAUGUUUAACAAAGGUGGGCCGGUUAAUUAGAAACAAGAGCAAGACCCCUUGCUUAGGUUUCUCCAUGGGCUACCAUUUAACAAUUAGUACAUUAUUAGUCUUAAGUAAUUUCCUCCAUUAUUAUUAUGGCUUCCUAAACUUUGUAGGAUUUAAAAAGGAAUAAGGUUUCAGUGUCAGUUAUUCCGUAAAGGGUGCUCUAGCACAAGGGUUCCUGAUACUUGUCCAAAAGUAACCUGCGGUUUGCUGAAGGGUGCAGACCCAAGUGCUUGUAGGCUUUUCUCCCAUUGUUUAUUUCACCAGCAACCUUUUACUCUCCACUCCUGCUUCCAUCUCAUGUGAGCUUCACAAGAGUCUUAAGACCCAGACUCAAUUUCAGUUCCUAUGCCAUGCCCUUCCUUGCAGUCAAAAUUAGUCUUCUGUGGAACAUCCCAGCCUUCCUCCUAUAAAGUGUAAAGAGAAAUUUAAACUACUUUAGUAUUGUUUCAUUUGGACACCACAUCCUCUUUUUUUUUUUUUUUAAAUUUUUUUUUUUCAACGUUUAUUUAUUUUUGGGACAGAGAGACACAGAGCAUGAACGGGGGUGGGGCAGAGAGAGGGGAGACACAGAAUCGGA
Molecule: long non-coding RNA, 1303 nt
Filed under: Felis catus (domestic cat)
Lineage: Eukaryota; Metazoa; Chordata; Mammalia; Carnivora; Felidae
Description: lncRNA (ENSFCAG00000049573.1)
Source: RNAcentral